This is a non-coding RNA of Pelobates cultripes (western spadefoot toad), 183 nucleotides long. Lineage: Eukaryota; Metazoa; Chordata; Amphibia; Anura; Pelobatidae. The record is from the annotation of a GenBank genome assembly.
ACUCACAGGACUUUGUCAAAAAUACUGUGAUUUAUAUAGAUAGUGUGCAUACAGGAAACAAAAAACGACGUUUCGACCCCUGCAGGGGAAAAGGACCCUCAGGGGUCGAAACUUCGUUUUUUUGUUUGCUGUAUGCACAUUAUCUAAAUAAAUCACAGUAUUUUUGACAAAGUCCUGCGAGUG